RNAcentral lists this unclassified non-coding RNA (348 nucleotides) under soil metagenome. RNAcentral describes it as "partial contains 5.8S ribosomal RNA, internal transcribed spacer 2, and large subunit ribosomal RNA". The stretch from base 1 to 120 matches the Rfam family "5.8S ribosomal RNA", at positions 35 to 154 of the family's 154-position model. The record is from RNAcentral.
GAUGAAGAACGUAGUAAAAUGCGAUAAGUAAUGUGAAUUGCAGAAUUCAGUGAAUCAUCGAAUCUUUGAACGCACAUUGCGCCCGCUGGUAUUCCGGCGGGCAUGCCUGUUCGAGCGUCAUUUCAACCCUCAAGCCCCCGGGUUUGGUGUUGGGGAUCGGCUCUGCCCUUCUGGGCGGUGCCGCCCCCGACAUACAUUGGCGGUCUCGCUGCAGCCUCCAUUGCGUAGUAGCUAACACCUCGCAACUGGAACGCGGCGCGGCCAUGCCGUAAAACCCCAACUUCUGAAUGUUGACCUCGGAUCAGGUAGGAAUACCCGCUGAACUUAAGCAUAUCAAUAAGCGGAGGA